GCUGCCGUAGCUCAGUGGUAGAGCACCCCCUUGGUAAGGGGGAGGUCCAAAGUUCAAUCCUUUGCGGCAGCACCA
Molecule: transfer RNA, 75 nt
Filed under: Alphaproteobacteria bacterium
Lineage: Bacteria; Pseudomonadati; Pseudomonadota; Alphaproteobacteria
Also listed under: 1 other name
Description: tRNA-Thr
Rfam family: tRNA
About the family: Transfer RNA (tRNA) molecules are approximately 80 nucleotides in length. Their secondary structure includes four short double-helical elements and three loops (D, anti-codon, and T loops). Further hydrogen bonds mediate the characteristic L-shaped molecular structure. tRNAs have two regions of fundamental functional importance: the anti-codon, which is responsible for specific mRNA codon recognition, and the 3' end, to which the tRNAs corresponding amino acid is attached (by aminoacyl-tRNA synthetases). tRNAs cope with the degeneracy of the genetic code in two manners: having more than one tRNA (with a specific anti-codon) for a particular amino acid; and 'wobble' base-pairing, i.e. permitting non-standard base-pairing at the 3rd anti-codon position.
Source: RNAcentral